AUCGAUUCUGGGCCUUUUGGCUAAGAUCAAAGUGUAAUAUCUGUUCCUAUCAGCUUAAUAUCUGAUACGAUCCCCAUGUGGGAUCUACGAUAUUAAACUGAUUUUUGGGAAACGGCGGAGUGCUCGGGGCUUGCUCCACCUUUGCCGCGGAUCGGCCCGGUAGUGCAAUACCUCCGGGUCCCGAGUUCAAUUCCC
Penaeus chinensis is the source of this 195-nucleotide small nuclear RNA. RefSeq annotates it as U2 spliceosomal RNA. NCBI's taxonomy places the organism in Eukaryota, Metazoa, Arthropoda, Malacostraca, Decapoda, Penaeidae. The record is from RefSeq and is a predicted model, not a curated record. The transcript has a single exon.